GAUGAACGCUGGCGGCGUGCCUAAUACAUGCAAGUCGAACGCUUCACUUCGGUGAAGAGUGGCGAACGGGUGAGUAAUACAUAAGUAACCUGGCAUCUACAGGGGGAUAACUGAUGGAAACGUCAGCUAAGACCGCAUAGGUGUAGAGAUCGCAUGAACUCUAUAUGAAAAGUGCUACGGGACUGGUAGAUGACGGACUUAUGGCGCAUUAGCUGGCUGGUAGGGUAACGGCCUACCAAGGCGACGAUGCGUAGCCGACCUGAGAGGGUGACCGGCCACACUGGGACUGAGACACGGCCCAGACUCCUACGGGAGGCAGCAGUAGGGAAUUUUCGGCAAUGGGGGAAACCCUGACCGAGCAACGCCGCGUGAAGGAAGAAGUAAUUCGUUAUGUAAACUUCUGUCAUAGAGGAAGAACGGUGGAUAUAGGGAAUGAUAUCCAAGUGACGGUACUCUAUAAGAAAGCCACGGCUAACUACGUGCCAGCAGCCGCGGUAAUACGUAGGUGGCGAGCGUUAUCCGGAAUUAUUGGGCGUAAAGAGGGAGCAGGCGGCACUAAGGGUCUGUGGUGAAAGAUCGAAGCUUAACUUCGGUAAGCCAUGGAAACCGUAGAGCUAGAGUGUGUGAGAGGAUCGUGGAAUUCCAUGUGUAGCGGUGAAAUGCGUAGAUAUAUGGAGGAACACCAGUGGCGAAGGCGACGAUCUGGCGCAUAACUGACGCUCAGUCCCGAAAGCGUGGGGAGCAAAUAGG
RNAcentral lists this ribosomal RNA (750 nucleotides) under uncultured bacterium. Its description in RNAcentral is "bacterial SSU rRNA". It matches the Rfam family "Bacterial small subunit ribosomal RNA", at positions 28 to 776 of the family's 1533-position model. The record is from RNAcentral.